GAUGAACGCUAGCGGCGUACUUAAAGCAUGCAAGUCGAACGGUCGCGCUUUGCGCGACAGUGGCGAACGGGUGAGUAACGCGUGGGUAACCUGCCCCUGAAUCUGGAAUAACUUCGCGAAAGCGAGGCUAAUACCGGAUAUUGUCCCAGGGACCGUGGUUCUUGUGAUGAAAGAUGACCUCUUCACGAAAGUUGUCGUUCAGAGAGGGGCCCGCGUACCAUUAGCUAGUUGGUAGGGUAAUGGCCUACCAAGGCGAGGAUGGUUAGCUGGUCUGAGAGGAUGACCAGCCACACUGGCACUGAAACACGGGCCAGACUCCUACGGGUGGCUG
RNAcentral lists this ribosomal RNA (331 nucleotides) under uncultured Pseudomonadota bacterium. RNAcentral describes it as "bacterial SSU rRNA". It matches the Rfam family "Bacterial small subunit ribosomal RNA", at positions 28 to 351 of the family's 1533-position model. The record is from RNAcentral. Lineage: Bacteria; Pseudomonadati; Pseudomonadota.